UACGUAGGGGGCGAGCGUUGUCCGGAAUUAUUGGGCGUAAAGAGCUCGUAGGCGGUUUGUCGCGUCUGCUGUGAAAACCGGAGGCUCAACCUCCGGCCUGCAGUGGGUACGGGCAAACUAGAGUGCGGUAGGGGAGAUUGGAAUUCCUGGUGUAGCGGUGGAAUGCGCAGAUAUCAGGAGGAACACCGAUGGCGAAGGCAGAUCUCUGGGCCGUAACUGACGCUGAGGAGCGAAAGCGUGGGGAGCGAACAGG
Molecule: ribosomal RNA, 253 nt
Filed under: uncultured bacterium
Lineage: Bacteria
Description: partial 16S ribosomal RNA
Rfam family: Bacterial small subunit ribosomal RNA
Source: RNAcentral